GGAGUCUCGCUCUGUCACCCGGGCUGGAGUGAGUGGUGCAAUCUCGGCUCACUGCAAACCUCCACCUCCCGGGUUCAAGCAAUUCUCUUGCCUCAGCCUUCCGAGUAGCGGGGAUUACAGGUGCCUGUCACCACGCCUGACUAGUUUUUUGUAUUUUUAGUAGAGAUGGGUUUCAUCACGUUAGCCAGGAUGGUCUCGAUCUCCUGACCUCAUGAUCCACCCGCCUUGGCCUCCCAAAGUGCUGGGAUUACAGGCGUGAGCCACUGCGCCCAGCCUGCACUCAUUUCUUGAAAGAUAUGCAAGGAAAAGCUCUGUCCAAAAGAUUCUCCUGUUCUUCACAGGCUCAUGCUACUCCAACACUAAUGCUUCUUUCUUGGCCUCCUUCCUCUGUCCAGCAUUGAGUUACUACCUUCCAUUCUCCAAAGGCCCAUAUUGAAAAACAAUCAAACAGAAUCAACUUUGCCAAAUGACAUCCUUACAAAGACUAAGCACGGAAAAAGAGAAAACGGGAGGGAGCAGGGAGGUACACUAUUGGAAGCCCCGUGGAAUUACAGGCUAAGAAUAAAAGAGGCUGACUGGAAAGCAGAUCUGAAGACAAAACAAGAAGCAAAAGGCAUGGGUGACUUGAGGAAGAGGACGGGCCCUAGGUCAGGACUGCCAUGUCUUGGUACUUGUUAUUUUUUAUUUAUUUAAUUAUUUUUGAGAAGGAGUUUCGCUCUUGUUGCCCAGGCUAGAGGGCAGUGAUGCAAUCUCGGCUCACUGCAACCUCCGCCUCCUGGGUUCAAGCGAUUCUCCUGCCUCAGGCUCCCAAGUAGCUGGGAUUACAGGUGUCUGCCACCACGCCUAGCUAAUUUUUUGUAUUUUUAGUAGAGACGGGGUUUCUCCAUGUUGGCCAGGCUGG
Molecule: long non-coding RNA, 901 nt
Filed under: Homo sapiens (human)
Lineage: Eukaryota; Metazoa; Chordata; Mammalia; Primates; Hominidae
Description: HSALNT0232922
Source: RNAcentral